This 508-nucleotide ribosomal RNA is filed under the name uncultured bacterium. Its description in RNAcentral is "partial 16S ribosomal RNA". It matches the Rfam family "Bacterial small subunit ribosomal RNA", at positions 28 to 507 of the family's 1533-position model. The record is from RNAcentral.
GACGAACGCUGGCGGCGUGCCUAAUACAUGCAAGUCGAACGCUUCUUUCCUCCCGAGUGCUUGCACUCAAUUGGAAAGAGGAGUGGCGGACGGGUGAGUAACACGUGGGUAACCUACCCAUCAGAGGGGGAUAACACUUGGAAACAGGUGCUAAUACCGCAUAACAGUUUAUGCCGCAUGGCAUAAGAGUGAAAGGCGCUUUCGGGUGUCGCUGAUGGAUGGACCCGCGGUGCAUUAGCUAGUUGGUGAGGUAGCGGCUCACCAAGGCCACGAUGCAUAGCCGACCUGAGAGGGUGAUCGGCCACACUGGGACUGAGACACGGCCCAGACUCCUACGGGAGGCAGCAGUAGGGAAUCUUCGGCAAUGGACGAAAGUCUGACCGAGCAACGCCGCGUGAGUGAAGAAGGUUUUCGGAUCGUAAAACUCUGUUGUUAGAGAAGAACAAGGACGUUAGUAACUGAACGUCCCCUGACGGUAUCUAACCAGAAAGCCACGGCUAACUACGUG